Molecule: small RNA, 381 nt
Filed under: Vigna angularis var. angularis
Lineage: Eukaryota; Viridiplantae; Streptophyta; Magnoliopsida; Fabales; Fabaceae
Description: Non-protein coding transcript
Source: RNAcentral
GAGGAAUCAAGUGAGAGCUUGAGAAAUAUAGAAGAAAAAGUUAGGGAAAAAUUUUUAGUUGCAAGAAGAGUAGAGGUUCUGAAGAGUUUUCGGGGAAACAAAUUCGGAGCAAGAGAUUAAGUCUGGAAUAGAGAUGGCAAGGAGGAUACGUUGGAAACAGUACUUGAUGGGGAAGACAAUGCUGCAGCUUAGAUUCGCUAGCUUUUAUUAGUUAGCUUUGAUGAACUUUUGUACGUUUAAAGCUUUAAAUUCUAUGUAAUUUCUAGGGAGAAACCCUAAUACUCUAAGUUUUCAAUUCCAUGCUAUUCUAAGGAUGAUUGUAAUCCUUAAAUUACUCUUGACUGCUUUCCUAUAUUAAUAAAUGAUGACGUCUUUAUUAUA